GACGAACGCUGGCGGCGUGCUUAACACAUGCAAGUCGAACGGAAAGGCCCUGCUUUUGUGGGGUGCUCGAGUGGCGAACGGGUGAGUAACACGUGAGUAACCUGCCCUUGACUUUGGGAUAACUUCAGGAAACUGGGGCUAAUACCGGAUAGGAGCUCCUGCUGCAUGGUGGGGGUUGGAAAGUUUCGGCGGUUGGGGAUGGACUCGCGGCUUAUUAGCUUGUUGGUGGGGUAGUGGCUUACCAAGGGUUUGACGGGUAGCCGGCCUGAGAGGGUGACCGGCGACAAUGGGACUGAGAUGCGGACCAGACUCCUACGGGAGGCAGCAGUGGGGAAUAUUGCACAAUGGGCGGAAGCCUGAUGCAGCAACGCCGCGUGCGGGAUGACGGCCUUCGGGUUGUAAACCGCUUUCGCCUGUGACGAAGCGUGAGUGACGGUAAUGGGUAAAGAAGCACCGGCUAACUACGUG
Molecule: ribosomal RNA, 468 nt
Filed under: uncultured bacterium
Lineage: Bacteria
Description: partial 16S ribosomal RNA
Rfam family: Bacterial small subunit ribosomal RNA
Source: RNAcentral